GGGAACCCCUAUCGGGUUCAGACUAAGCCAUGCGAGUCGGCUGGGGGCACUUGCCCCUGGCGGCGCACGGCUCAGUAAUACGCGGUCAACCUACCCUGGGGACCGGGAUAACCUCGGGAAACUGAGGCUAAUCCCGGAUGGGUGUAGGGUGCUGAAAUGCCCCUACGCCGAGAGUAGGCGGGAAAUGGACCGCUGAGGCCCCAGGAUGGGACCGCGGCCUAUCAGGUAGUAGGUGGGGUGACGGCCCACCUAGCCUACGACGGGUACGGGCCCUGAGAGGGGGAGCCCGGAGAUGGGCACUGAGACAAGGGUCUAGGCCCUAAGGGGCGCAGCAGGCGCGAAGAUUCCGCAAUGCCCGAAAGGGCGACGGAGUGAACCCGAGUGCCGCCCGCUGAGGGUGGCUGUUCCCCUGUGUAAAAAGCAGGGGGUAGGAAGGGGAGGGCAAGGCUGGUGGCAGCCGCCGCGGUAAAACCAGCUCCCCGAGGGGUUCCCACGCAUACUGGGCCUAAAGCGUCCGUAGCCGGCCCUGUAAGUCCGCAGUUAAAUCCGCCUGUAGACAGGCGGGCUGCUGCGGAUACUGCAGGGCUAGGGAGCGGGAGGAGCCGGGGGUAUUCCCGGGGGAGCGGUAAAAUGCGUAGAUCCCGGGAGGACCACCAGUGGCGAAGGCGCCCGGCUUGAACGCGUCCGACGGUGAGGGACGAAAGCUGGGGGAGCAAACCGGAUUAGAUACCCGGGUAGUCCCAGCCGUAAACGAUGCCGGCUAGGUGCUGGCCAAGGUUUCGACCUUGGCCAGUGUCGAAGCGAAGGCAUUAAGCCGGCCGCCUGAGGAGUACGGCCGCAAGGCUGAAACUUGAAGGAAUUGACGGGGGGGCACCACAAGGGGUGAAUGCCUGCGGCUUAAUUGGACUCAACGCCGGGAAUCUUACCGGGGGCGACAGCAGGAUGAAGGUCAGGCUGAAGACCUUACCAGACGCGCUGAGGGGUGGUGCAUGGCCGUCGCCAGCUCGUGCCGUGAGGUGUCCUGUUAAGUCAGGCAACGAGCGAGACCCCCGCCCCUAGUUGCCAGCGGCCUCCUUCGGGAGGGACCGGGCAAACUAGGGGGACCGCCUCCGAAGAGGAGGAGGAAGGUGGGGGCUACGGCAGGUCAGUAUGCCCCUAAUCCCCCGGGCCGCACGCGGGCU
RNAcentral lists this ribosomal RNA (1181 nucleotides) under uncultured korarchaeote. RNAcentral's name for it is "bacterial SSU rRNA". It matches the Rfam family "Archaeal small subunit ribosomal RNA", at positions 21 to 1182 of the family's 1478-position model. Lineage: Archaea; Thermoproteati; Thermoproteota. The record is from RNAcentral.